GUGAGCGCAACUACACAGCCUACGCUACUGUUGCGUCCAGCUUUCCUCCCCAUUCACCUAUACUCAGAUGUAAACGUUCAUUCUAGUGAUGGCGCCGAUGCUGUAACAAAGUGGCAAUUUAAAAAAUCGAUUAUUUCUAGCAGGAAAUGUUGCACACAGGAAAAGUGCUUACAAUUUAUUUCUAGUAGUUUUUUGGCUGCCAACGUCAGGAUGGGAUCCCACGCAAAAUCAGCGAAUAAGAAGGCCAAGGAAUCUAUCAACUGCCUCAAAUCAAACUUUUCAUAUUGUUUAGUCGGGCUGUUAAUGGUCUUUUGUAUCAUGCUGUCGGUGUGUUCUAUGGCGUUUUGUUUUUUGGUCAACUUCAAGACAUCUUACCUGGAGUACAGAGUGCAUACAUUGGAGAUGGAGAGAAUGUUCCUGAUCCAUCCCGAUGCAUCCGCGCAGGAUGAGAAUGGAACAGUACCUGGUCUCCAGGAUAUCAUUGAAAAAAUUGUGCAAGAGAGACUGACCAUAGCACUGCCCAAACUUCGCACUGCCAGGGAGGUCAUUCAAGAGUGCUCCUGUCCUCCAGGGCCUCCAGGAAAACGGGGAAGGCUGGGAAGACAAGGCGACCCUGGUGAUAUUCUUUAUUCUUUCUAUGCUCCUUCAAUGUUUUCAAUGCUUAUCUUCCUCAGCAGUGUGUGUUAAUGGGUAUGUUGAUGUGUGCCAUGGGGUAAACCAGGGAUCAUCGAUUAGAUUCAGCCACGGGAUGAUUUUUUCUUGAGUGGAUGGCCAGGGAGCUGGAACAUAAUUACAGAUCAUUUGUAGACUGCAGACUGACAGCAAGAAGCCCCGAACAGAUAUAAUUUUUACUAAAACAUAAUAAUUUCAAACCUUGCUUAUAUUUACAGUAUAUACAAUCACAUAUAUCUCUCUAUUAUGUGUGGGAAUACUUUGGAGCAGAUUUCUGAAAUUAAAAUCACUUGAAGCUGACUUAGUCUUUUAUGUCCAACAAUAAAAAAUAAAAAUAAAAAAAUAAAAUAAAAAUAUAUAUAUAUAUAGUCAGUUGGGAAACCCUGGGGUAGAGUGUAUAAAAAAGACCAACAGAUCGGAGUGAACUGUACAGUACCUCCCAAUAGU
Molecule: long non-coding RNA, 1119 nt
Organism: Oncorhynchus masou masou (cherry salmon)
Lineage: Eukaryota; Metazoa; Chordata; Actinopteri; Salmoniformes; Salmonidae
Exons: 3
Source: RefSeq, a predicted model, not a curated record